Molecule: transfer RNA, 82 nt
Filed under: Dictyoglomus turgidum
Lineage: Bacteria; Pseudomonadati; Dictyoglomota; Dictyoglomia; Dictyoglomales; Dictyoglomaceae
Also listed under: 4 other names
Description: tRNA-Leu
Rfam family: tRNA
About the family: Transfer RNA (tRNA) molecules are approximately 80 nucleotides in length.
Source: RNAcentral
GCGGACGUGGUGGAACUGGCAGACACGCAGGACUUAGGAUCCUGUCCCGCAAGGGGUGAGGGUUCGACUCCCUCCGUCCGCA